AUUUUGAUAUAACAAUGAAGUAGACUGAUAUUAGAGAUUUGUAUACCAACCUCAAGUCAAAGAGGACAUUUGGUCAUUUGAAAGUGAAGUGAUUAGARAGAGUACAUCUGGACUUGUUUGGUCCUAUAUACUGUAGCAGAGCGGCGAUGAGUGGGUUUUUAGUGCAGCAGAAAGACCUGUUGCUCAGCAGUGGAGUCUGUCUGGUCUUUCUGAGGAAGCUCUGUGGUUGAGGUGGCUGCUGCUGAGUGGAGCGGUGCUAUACAGAUACGCUCUUCCCCAUCACUUUCAUUGGGCUUCACUUUACUGAACACUACGUCUCAGUGGCAGAAUACAGCCUAGAACUUCAACUUGAGCAUAUAGAUAGAUUUUUACUGUAAUGAUACAUGAUUUGAGCUUCCUAUUCAAUUUUAAUUUGUUUACUACGUAGUUGGAGAUUCAGGAGUAAAGUUUACAGUUUGGCAUAUCAUAUUUUGAUAUUUAUUUUUGUUUUAAUUCAUUUAGAAUUUGAGCCUGAAUGUAUUUGUUCAGCCUAUUUGCUUGAUGUGAAAGGUUGACAUUUGUAUGCCUUUUAAAGAACCUUAUCUGGUGACUUGACUGAAGACAUCAUCUCCAAGAGGGCUAGCCGCAGAGAUUUCUCAUUUCUCUUUUAUUAGGGCCUUCUACUUCCCUUCCAUUAGACUGAGYCUACAAAACCCUCUGUGCUCCUGCUGCUUCUCGCUUCCCCACCAUGCCUCGYUCUUUCCUGGUGAGGAGGGGGGGCUCUCACMCUCUGCGCCCCAAAGCAGGUAGCCCCUGCUUGGGCACRACCCYGGUGCCAGURGGUCCCUCAGAAACAG
Salvelinus sp. IW2-2015 is the source of this 836-nucleotide non-coding RNA. NCBI's taxonomy places the organism in Eukaryota, Metazoa, Chordata, Actinopteri, Salmoniformes, Salmonidae. The record is from RefSeq and is a predicted model, not a curated record.